Molecule: ribosomal RNA, 438 nt
Filed under: uncultured bacterium
Lineage: Bacteria
Description: bacterial SSU rRNA
Rfam family: Bacterial small subunit ribosomal RNA
Source: RNAcentral
CGUACGCUGGCGGCACGCCUAACACAUGCAAGUCGAACGCAGUAGCAAUACUGAGUGGCAGACGGGUGAGUAACAUGUGGGAAUCUGCCUUGUGGUUCAGGACAACAUUGGGAAACCGAUGCUAAUACUGGAUAAGCCCUUACGGGGAAAGUUUUAAUGCCAUAAGAUGAGCCCGCACUUGAUUAGUUAGUUGGUGAGGUAAUGGCUCACCAAGACAAUGAUCAAUAGCUGAUCUGAGAGGAUGAUCAGCCACACUGGGACUGAGACACGGCCCAGACUCCUACGGGAGGCAGCAGUGGGGAAUCUUGCACAAUGGAGGAAACUCUGAUGCAGCGAUGCCGCGUGAGUGAAGAAGGCCUUUGGGUUGUAAAGCUCUUUCACCGAUGAAGAUAAUGACGGUAGUCGGAGAAGAAGCCCCGGCUAACUUCGUGCCAGCAG